This 230-nucleotide long non-coding RNA is filed under the name Mytilus galloprovincialis (Mediterranean mussel). The record is from RNAcentral. Lineage: Eukaryota; Metazoa; Mollusca; Bivalvia; Mytilida; Mytilidae.
GGGACAGACUGAUGGAUGAACAAAGGGAUGGACGAGCAGGCACACAGACUGAAAAACAUAAUGCCCUUAGAUGGGGCAUAAAAAAUUUCUUGAACAUUGUUAAUAGGGUUACAACUAAUAAAAUAUCAAUGGUUUAGGUUAACAAGAAAAACAAUUUCCACCUUUUGUUCAUGUUUCUGAAAAGUAAUACUUAUGUCUCCUUUCAAAUAAAAAAUAAAAAUACAACUGAC